This 372-nucleotide ribosomal RNA is filed under the name uncultured bacterium. Its description in RNAcentral is "bacterial SSU rRNA". It matches the Rfam family "Bacterial small subunit ribosomal RNA", at positions 524 to 898 of the family's 1533-position model. The record is from RNAcentral.
UACGGAGGAUGCAAGCGUUAUCCGGAUUUAUUGGGUUUAAAGGGUCCGCAGGCGGGACAAUAAGUCAGAGGUGAAAUCCUACGGCUCAACUGUAGAACUGCCUUUGAUACUGUUGUCCUAGAGUGUAGUUGGGGUAGGCGGAAUAUGUCAUGUAGCGGUGAAAUGCUUAGAUAUGACAUAGAACACCGAUCGCGAAGGCAGCUUACCAAGCUACUACUGACGCUCAGGGACGAAAGCGUGGGGAUCAAACAGGAUUAGAUACCCUGGUAGUCCACGCUGUAAACGAUGGUCACUCGAUGUUGGCGAUACACAGUCAGCGUCUGAGCGAAAGCAUUAAGUGACCCACCUGGGGUGUACGACCGCAAGGUUGAA